Long non-coding RNA from Rhinichthys klamathensis goyatoka, 469 nucleotides. RefSeq lists it as uncharacterized. The record is from RefSeq and is a predicted model, not a curated record. The transcript is spliced from 4 exons. NCBI's taxonomy places the organism in Eukaryota, Metazoa, Chordata, Actinopteri, Cypriniformes, Leuciscidae.
CUGAUGGUCCACAAGGACGCCUUGGCCCGCUACGCAAAUGCAUAUUCUGCUGUUAAUGAGGAUUUCAGGUUCCAGAGGGCAUUCGUGGAUUCCAGAGUCCAGGCCUCACAGCCUGGACAGGAAGGCCAAGCCCUUGUUGGAUUUCACAGCUACAGGGCAGAGACACUGCAGGAACUGUAUGAGUCCAAGGACAAAGACCACAAUGGUUAUGUCAACUGGCUGAGGAAGCAGACACCCCGGAAUCCCGGGGACCCUAUGGAAGCAGCCCUUAAAUAUACCAGGCGCCGUGGAGGCAGCUGCACCCCCUUCUCCCCUUGCUGGGGUUAAGACAGCUUCAGGGCCUCUUGGUGCAGCGGUCUCUGCAUUUUUAGGGCAGCGUUCUGUGACCCCAGGUCAACUGCAGUCAACAGUCAGGAAGAUCCUUGCCAAAAAGACUGCAGUUCCCAGGGUGCCUGCUUCCAGACCAGCU